RNAcentral lists this ribosomal RNA (498 nucleotides) under uncultured bacterium. Its description in RNAcentral is "partial 16S ribosomal RNA". It matches the Rfam family "Bacterial small subunit ribosomal RNA", at positions 28 to 523 of the family's 1533-position model. The record is from RNAcentral.
GACGAACGCUGGCGGCGCGCCUAACACAUGCAAGUCGAGCGGAGAUACUUGAAGGAAGUUUUCGGAUGGAAUUUGAGUAUUUUAGCGGCGGACGGGUGAGUAACGCGUGAGUGACCUGCCUUCCACAGGGGGAUAACGUACCGAAAGGUACACUAAUACCGCAUGAGACCACAGCACUGCCUGGUGCAGGGGUCAAAGGAGCAAUCCGGUGGAAGAUGGACUCGCGUCCGAUUAGAUAGUUGGUGGGGUAACGGCCUACCAAAUCAGCGAUCGGUAGCCGACCUGGGAGGGUGAUCGGCAACAUUGGAACUGAGAGACGGUCCAAACUCCUACGGGAGGCAGCAGUGGGGAAUAUUGGGCAAUGGGGGAAACCCUGACCCAGCGACGCCGCGUGAGGGAAGAAGGUUUUCGGAUUGUAAACCUCUGUUCUUGGUGAAGAGGGAAAGACGGUAGCCAAGGAGGAAGCCCCGGCUAACUACGUGCCAGCAGCCGCGGUAA